RNAcentral lists this ribosomal RNA (468 nucleotides) under uncultured bacterium. RNAcentral describes it as "partial 16S ribosomal RNA". It matches the Rfam family "Bacterial small subunit ribosomal RNA", at positions 28 to 507 of the family's 1533-position model. The record is from RNAcentral.
GACGAACGCUGGCGGCGUGCUUAACACAUGCAAGUCGAACGGAAAGGCCCUGCUUUUGUGGGGUGCUCGAGUGGCGAACGGGUGAGUAACACGUGAGUAACCUGCCCUUGACUUUGGGAUAACUUCAGGAAACUGGGGCUAAUACCGGAUAGGAGCUCCUGCUGCAUGGUGGGGGUUGGAAAGUUUCGGCGGUUGGGGAUGGACUCGCGGCUUAUCAGCUUGUUGGUGGGGUAGUGGCUUACCAAGGCUUUGACGGGUAGCCGGCCUGAGAGGGUGACCGGCCACAUUGGGACUGAGAGACGGACCAGACUCCUACGGGAGGCAGCAGUGGGGAAUAUGGCACAAUGGGCGGAAGCCUGAUGCAGCAACGCCGCGUGCGGGAUGACGGCCUUCGGGUUGUAAACCGCUUUCGCCUGUGACGAAGCGUGAGUGACGGUAAUGGGUAAAGAAGCACCGGCUAACUACGUG